GCCAGCCCGCUCAGAAACUUAAAGGAAUUGAGGGGCCCGCACAAGCGGAGGAGCAUGUGGUUUAAUUCGAUGAUACGCGAGGAACCUUACCUGGGCUCGAACGUAAGAUGACUGUAGGUGAAAGCUUACAUCUCUUCGGAGCAUUUUACGAGGUGCUGCAUGGUUGUCGUCAGCUCGUGCCGUGAGGUGUCGGGUUAAGUCCCAUAACGAGCGCAACCCCUACCUUUAGUUGCCAUCAGGUUAAGCUGGGGACUCUAAAGGAACUGCCUACGCAAGUAGUGAGGAAGGCGGGGAUGACGUCAAAUCAGCACGGCCCUUACGUCCAGGGCUACACACGUGCUACAAUGGCCGAUACAGAGGGCAGCUACCUGGUGACAGGAUGCAAAUCUCCAAAGUCGGUCUCAGUUCGGAUCGGAGUCUGCAACCCGACUCCGUGAAGUUGGAUUCGCUAGUAAUCGCGCAUCAGCCAUGGCGCGGUGAAUACGUUCCCGGGCCUU
This 497-nucleotide ribosomal RNA is filed under the name uncultured Sphingobacteriales bacterium. RNAcentral's name for it is "bacterial SSU rRNA". It matches the Rfam family "Bacterial small subunit ribosomal RNA", at positions 903 to 1382 of the family's 1533-position model. Lineage: Bacteria; Pseudomonadati; Bacteroidota; Sphingobacteriia; Sphingobacteriales. The record is from RNAcentral.